RNAcentral lists this small RNA (710 nucleotides) under uncultured Marasmiaceae. RNAcentral describes it as "eukaryotic LSU rRNA". The stretch from base 288 to 441 matches the Rfam family "5.8S ribosomal RNA". The record is from RNAcentral. Lineage: Eukaryota; Fungi; Basidiomycota; Agaricomycetes; Agaricales.
AGUAAAAGUGGUAACAAGGUUUCACUAGGUGAACCUGCGGAAGGAUCAUUACUGAAGAAAUGGCAAGGCUUUUUGAGCUGGCUCCUAGGAGCAUGUGCUCAGCUCUGUCGCUUUUUCUACUUUCCACUGUGCACCUUAUGUAGGCUUAUGGAUAUCCCCUGGUACUGGGUUAUUGUUAUUGAAGGUUCGCCUUCUUGACUGUCCUUCGUAAGCCUAUGUUAUACAUACACUAGUAAAGUCUUUGAAUGUCUUAUUGUUGGUCUUGAUUGACCGAUAAAACACUAUACAACUUUCAGCAACGGAUCUCUUGGCUCUCGCAUCGAUGAAGAACGCAGCGAAAUGCGAUAAGUAAUGUGAAUUGCAGAAUUCAGUGAAUCAUCGAAUCUUUGAACGCAUCUUGCACCCUUUGGUAUUCCGAAGGGUAUGCCUGUUUGAGUGUCGUUGAAUUCUCAAAAGAACCCAGGUUUCGAUCAGGGCUUUUUUGGACUGUGAGGGCUGCUGGUCUCCUUAGAUCAGACUCCCUUUAAAUACAUUAGUGGUUACCGAUCCGCUUCCACUUAGGUGUGAUAGGUCUAUCUACGCCGCUUGGAAUGAUCAGUUGCUAUCCGCUCCCUAACCUUGUCCGUCUUAGGACAAAGCUUCUUUGACAAUUCGACCUCAAAUCAGGUAGGACUACCCGCUGAACUUAAGCAUAUCAAUAAGCGGAGGAA